RNAcentral lists this non-coding RNA (27 nucleotides) under Mus musculus (house mouse). Lineage: Eukaryota; Metazoa; Chordata; Mammalia; Rodentia; Muridae. The record is from RNAcentral.
UGAAAAGCUGUGAAGAGUGCCGUGAGG